This is a long non-coding RNA of Pan troglodytes (chimpanzee), 3420 nucleotides long. RefSeq lists it as uncharacterized. NCBI's taxonomy places the organism in Eukaryota, Metazoa, Chordata, Mammalia, Primates, Hominidae. The record is from RefSeq and is a predicted model, not a curated record. The transcript is spliced from 3 exons.
GUUUACCUAAGCAAGCCUGCGCAAUAGCGGGCGCCCCUCCCCCAGCCUCGCUGCCGCCUUGCAGUUUGAUCUCAGACUGCUGUGCUAGCAAUCAGCGAGACUCCGUGGGCGUAGGACCCUCUGAGCCAGGUGUGGGAUAUAGUCUCGUGGUGCGCCGUUUUUUAAGCCGGUCUGAAAAGCGCAAUAUUCAGGUGGGAGUGACCCGAUUUUCCAGGUGAGGAAAACGGAACCUUGCAUAGAUUAGGCAAUCUGCCUCAAGUUACCCAGAUAGAAAAUGUUGAAGCAGGAAUCUACAUGCAAGAAUCUCAUAGAGACUCCAACUCUCACCACAGACUGCAACCAGCUCUUCUUGUGAUGUAAGAGCUUGUUAUGAAGCAGAGGAUUCCAUCUACUCCUUAAAAAGUAGGAUGACCCCUUUAAAGUCCUCAAAAUGGUGUUGCUGCAGGUAAUCUUUUUGCAAUGUGGAGGGUUGCCUGUAACUAUGGUUUCAGAAAUACAUCAUCUUUCAGAGAAAGCAACCUCCCUACAGUGCGGCUUUACAGCUGUGAACAGCAGCUAUGCUUUGACUGUUAAAGUUUCUUAGAUAUUAUUGAUAGCCAGUGCUUCUCAAGGCAUUAAUAAAACCUGGAGACAAGAAGGAAACACUGAGGGUAAGUGACCAUCUUUGUUAUCAUUAUUGAAGAAUUGUUGCCAUAAAACAUACAACAUGUGAAAUGCAAGUUUUCAAAUCUGUAUAGUGUUUAGUAUAUUCACAAUGUUGUGCAAACUUAACCUCUAUCUAGUUCUAAAACACUUUCAUCAACUCCACAGGAGACUCUCUGCUUAUUAAGCAGUUGUUCCCUGUCCUCCCAGUCCCUGGCAAUUCUAAUGGGUUUGCCUAUUCUGAAUAUUUCAUAUGAAUGGAAUCAUAUAAUAUGUGAACUUCUGUGUCUGGCUUCUUCACUUAGCAUGUUUUCAAGUUUCAUACACAUCGUAGUAUAUUUCAGAACUUCAUUCCUUCUAAUGGCUGAAUACUCUUUCAUUGUGUGGUUAAGCUACAAUUUGUUUAACGAUACCCAUUCAUCUGUUGAUGGAAAUUUGGGUUGUUUCCAACUUUUGGCUAUUGUGAAUAGUGCUGCUGUGAACAUUUGUGUGCAAAUAUUUGUUUGAAUACCUGUUUUUAAUUCUUUUGGAUAUAUACUUAACAGUGGAAUUGCUGGGUCAAAUGGAAAUUCUGUAAUUGACUUCUUAAGGAAUCACUAAACUGUUUUCUAUAGCCACUGCUCCAUUUUACAUUCAUACAAGCAGUGUAUGAGGGGUUCCAAUUUCUCCACAUUUUUGCUACCAUAGCAUUUGUCUUCCCUUCUUUUUUAUUUUCUCUUUCUCCCUCCCUCUCUCUUUCCUUCCUUUCUCUCUCCCUCCCUCUCUCCCUCCUGAUUCCAGCUUUUCUAGUGGGUUUGAAAGAGUAUCUCAUUGUGCUUUGGUUCACAUUUCCCUAAUGGCUAAUAAUGUACAUGUUUUCAUGUACUUGUUGGCCAUUUGUAUAUAUUUUCUUUGAAGAAAUGUUACUUCAAGUCUGCAGUGUAACUCUUGGAUCCUCUUUUCACACUGAGGCCUCUCUUGCCUUGUCUUCCCCAUAUGCAGUAAAGAUGGUGAUGAUGAUAGCUGCCAAAAGCCAGGCACAAGGCUAAAUACUUUAGAUGCAUUAUCUCGUUUAAUUCUUUCAUGUUUAUCUCCAUUUUAAAGAUAAGGAAACUGAGGCACAGAGAGGUUAAGUUGAACGUGGGUCAUUAAAAAUCAAGAGGUGGAGACUGAUUUCAAAGCCUGUUCUUUCUGAUUUGAAAAGUUCCAUGCUCUUAACCUCUGCCUAAGGGGUCUGUAGACUAACUUGUAUUGCAUACAUGGACCAGAAGAUUGUGUUUUUACUGUGUACCAUCUUAUACAUUUUUAAUAAUAAGUUUAAGUGGCUGAGAAGGAUGUAAUUUUCUACAUAUUAUAAAUAUUAUAAUUUAAAAAUGUAACUGUUAGAUUAUGCUUUUAAAUGUUUCCAAGGGAAUCUAAAUGCCAUGGUGAUAUGUUACCCAGAACAAUUAAUUUAAAAAAACUCAUGAACAAUCCCUUCUUUUUUUUGCUCAAAAUUGUACAUUUAUUAUACUACUACCCUAGAAUAUUAUCAUAAUAUAACAAUUUUCAUGCUUGAAAGUCUUUUAUUGAUCAUCCUCUCAUACUUUCUGUAUCAAAAAUGUGAAUAUAAAUUAAAAUUGAACUUUAAAUAAUUUCUUUCAACUAUAAAGCUCUGAGGGUUAAACAUUCCUUUUGAUUGAGUUGUUAUUAUAUUAUUAGUAAUAGUCAAUUGAUAAAAUAAAAAAAUUACAGAGUUUGAUAAAUUAUCACUAACUCUAACAAGUAGAUUUGUAUUGGAAAUGUACCCUUUUAGUAGAAUGGAUGGAGUGUUAUGCUACCUUGAUUAAAGGGGACUCUAUGCAUAACAAUUUUUCAACUUGUCCCUUGCUUGACAGCCUAGAUCAUUAUUGCAAUAGAGAAAUGCAACAUAGCAAAUUUGUGAUAGGUAAAAGGAAUGCCUUUCUUUUUUUUUUGAUAAUUUAGAGGAGUUAAUUUUUUAAAAGUUAGUAGGAAAGGAAAUGUUGCUAGCGUGCAGCGCAGCCUUCACCACACACAGAAAUGUUCUUAAAAAGGUCAAGUUUAGAAUAGAUUACAUCGAGAAAUAAUGGAUCUGGACAUUGAUUCUCUUAGGAGGAUUCAUACCUCUGACUCCUUGGAGGAGCCUUCUGUAUUCCCAGGGUUUUGCAUACCCCAGUUGGAAGAUCACUACCUUGUACUAUUCUAGUAAGUGAGUGGCCAAGACUCUAGCCCUUUCCCACCAGUGUACUCCAUAAAAAAAAAUGGCCACUUAAACUAUGACUACAGCCUGCUAAGUAUUUUGCGUAUGUGAUAUUGUUUAAUUAUUGGAACAACUCUGCAAGGUAGUAUUAUGCUCACUAUACAGAAAAAGUAAUUUGUUUGGAUCACAGAAAUUAUAAGCGGUUGAGCAAAAUUUUGAAUUUAUUCUGUUUCUUCUCUUUUCCUCCCUUCUUUAUUGGGCUUGUUUCAAUUAGAAGCAAUGCAAUUCAGGCCAGGCGCGGUGGCUCACGCCUAUAAUCCCAGCACUUUGGGAGGCCGAGGCGGGCGGAUCAUGAGGUCAGCAGAUCCAGACCAUCCUGGCUAACACGGUGAAACCCCGUCUCUACUAAAAAUACAAAAAAAUGAGCCGGGUGUGGCGGUGGGCUCUUCUAGUCCCAGCUACUCCGGAGGCUGAGGCAGGAGAAUGGCGUGACUCUGGAAGGCGGAGCUUGCAGUGAGCCAAGAUCGCGCCACUGCACUCCAGCCUGGGCGACAGAGUGAGACUCUGUCUCAAAAAAAAAAAAAAAAAAAAAAAAAGAA